GUUGGCAAUGGUGGGACUAUACGCUGUGGAAGAGCGUUAGUGCGACAGCGAGGGUGGCUGGCAACGCAUCGACGGCUCGUCUCUCUGAUAUAGGCGGGCAAGGUUGGCCUCCUGGAUGCCAGAGCGGGGCUCCGGAUGGUGGGCUUGGCGGUGCUUUCGCGACGGGUGACGUCGGGUUGGUGCUGGUGUGCUAUCUUGGCCGUGUGGACGGUGAGGCAGCCCACGUGGGCGGCAUGCAGGGCCGACUUCGGACAAGGCUCCGUCUUUUGAGCAAGACCCUUUCUGUUGGUGGUCGUGGUGUGGGGAUGGACGACAACUUUCUCUCUUCGUGUUGACAGUCCCGUCGCCUAGACGGUGGCGCUCUUUAGGCAUGCAUGUUUCGACUAUGGGGUGGUGCUCGGAGCCCGCAUUGCUGGACCUCGGCGACAAUUCUCAUUCAAGCUCGAGGGAGGUGAGCGCAGCCAUCGCCCGGUUGCGGUGCCCUUUUGCUGGAGAGAGUGGAAGCAAGGGGCUCCUCCAGGCGAUGGAGCUAGAUGGCGUUUAGAUGUUGGCGAUGGCAUGGCCCCAUGUCGGCAUGUCCCCUUCAAGUGGUGGCUUCGUUCUCGGCUCCGGUUGCUUGAUCACGAAGCUGAACUCAGAAGACCCCAAGCGGUUCUCCUCUUCCAUUCAAUGUUGGCUUGUAGUUUUCUAGGGUGUGUGACUGGUCCCCCACACCUUGUAUCAUGUCGUGGGUUUUCUUUUCUUUGUUGUGUGCGUUGUAUUGUUCUUGGUUGAUAUAAGGGCUUCAUUAAUUUAAAGAUAA
Triticum aestivum (bread wheat) is the source of this 802-nucleotide long non-coding RNA. RefSeq lists it as uncharacterized. The record is from RefSeq and is a predicted model, not a curated record. Lineage: Eukaryota; Viridiplantae; Streptophyta; Magnoliopsida; Poales; Poaceae. The transcript has 2 exons.